GAAGAGCCUCCUUCAAAAGGCAGCUUGCCUGUGAGUCGUGGCAAAAAGCUGGAAUGACCCUGCCAGGUCUUAGAAGCUUUAAGAUUAACUGCAUUGAACUUGAUACAUAGAAAACAGCACCUUGAAAAUGAAUCAUCUGCUACUUCAGUAUUUUCUAAUUGCAAUCACUCCCUCUCGGGGCAUGUAAUUAAUUUACGGAGUUUAAAAAAAAGAAGUC
Molecule: non-coding RNA, 217 nt
Organism: Tursiops truncatus (common bottlenose dolphin)
Lineage: Eukaryota; Metazoa; Chordata; Mammalia; Artiodactyla; Delphinidae
Source: Rfam